GGGAAGCCUGUUUUAAGAUGAGGUUUCAUUUGAGGUCCCCCAAAGACGAUGGGGUUGAUAGGCCAGACCUGGACGCACCGCAAGGUGUGAAGGCUACUGGUACUAAUAGACCAAAACAAACACACACACCC
This 131-nucleotide ribosomal RNA is filed under the name Corynebacterium aurimucosum. RNAcentral's name for it is "partial 23S ribosomal RNA". It matches the Rfam family "Bacterial large subunit ribosomal RNA", at positions 2787 to 2925 of the family's 2925-position model. Lineage: Bacteria; Bacillati; Actinomycetota; Actinomycetes; Mycobacteriales; Corynebacteriaceae. The record is from RNAcentral.